ACUUCGAGUGAGUAAGAUCCCUCAGAGACGAUGAGGUUGAUAGGUCCGAGGUGGAAGCGUGGUGACACGUGGAGCUGACGGAUACUAAUCGAUCGAGGACUUAACUAA
RNAcentral lists this ribosomal RNA (108 nucleotides) under Oceanobacillus limi. Its description in RNAcentral is "23S rRNA. Bacterial LSU". It matches the Rfam family "Bacterial large subunit ribosomal RNA", at positions 2815 to 2925 of the family's 2925-position model. The record is from RNAcentral. Lineage: Bacteria; Bacillati; Bacillota; Bacilli; Caryophanales; Bacillaceae.